UACGAGGGGGGCGAGCGUUGUUCGGAACUAUUGGGCGUAAAGGGUGCGUAGGCGGUUUUGUAAGUCUUAUGUGAAAUCUAUGGGCUCAACUCAUAGACUGCAUGAGAAACUGCAGGGCUUGAGUAUGGGAGAGGUGAGUGGAAUUCCUGGUGUAGCGGUGAAAUGCGUAGAUAUCAGGAGGAACACCUGUGGCGAAAGCGGCUCACUGGACCAUAACUGACGCUGAUGCACGAAAGCUAGGGGAGCAAACAGG
This 253-nucleotide ribosomal RNA is filed under the name uncultured bacterium. RNAcentral's name for it is "partial 16S ribosomal RNA". It matches the Rfam family "Bacterial small subunit ribosomal RNA", at positions 524 to 776 of the family's 1533-position model. The record is from RNAcentral.